AGCCAUUACGCCAUUAGUCAGGGGAAAAUACUUUUAUGGAACUACAAUUACAGUUCUCUCUACACUCUGAUCGAAUCGGCACCGGAGUUUCUGUCGCUGGCAUGGAACGAAGUUCCUCUCUUAACUGUAUCUUCCUGGCGUUGAUCUUCCCUUCCAUUUUUCCGUCGUCUUCUUCUUAUUUUGGUUGUUGGUAGUAGUAAUCAGUUUCAAUCAGCCAGAUCUUUU
This 225-nucleotide unclassified non-coding RNA is filed under the name Hevea brasiliensis (rubber tree). The record is from RNAcentral. Lineage: Eukaryota; Viridiplantae; Streptophyta; Magnoliopsida; Malpighiales; Euphorbiaceae.